UACGGAGGGUGCAAGCGUUAUCCGGAUUCACUGGGUUUAAAGGGUGCGUAGGCGGACAGGAAAGUCCGUGGUGAAAUCCUGCAGCUUAACUGCAGAACUGCCGUGGAUACUCUCUGUCUCGAAUAUCGUGGAGGUGAGCGGAAUAUGUCAUGUAGCGGUGAAAUGCAUAGAGAUGACAUAGAACACCGAUUGCGAAGGCAGCUCACUACGCGAAGAUUGACGCUGAGGCACGAAAGCGUGGGGAUCAAACAGG
This 253-nucleotide ribosomal RNA is filed under the name uncultured bacterium. RNAcentral describes it as "partial 16S ribosomal RNA". It matches the Rfam family "Bacterial small subunit ribosomal RNA", at positions 524 to 776 of the family's 1533-position model. The record is from RNAcentral.